AUUCCAGCUCCAAUAGCGUAUAUUAAAGUUGUUGCAGUUAAAAAGCUCGUAGUUGGAUUUCUGGCGGGGACCCGGGUACCCCUGGUGGGUGUGCUCGGGCCCGGCCAUCCUUCUGUCAACUUUCGCGCGUCCUUCACCGGUCGGCAAAGGGAUCAGAUAAUUUACCUUGAGAAAAUUAGAGUGUUUCAGGCAGGCUUAGCCGGAAUACAUUAGCAUGGAAUAAUGGAAUAGGACUGAGGUCUCGUUGUUGGUUACGCGGACUACAGUAAUGAUUAAUAGGGACAGUUGGGGGCAUUAGUAUUUAUUAGCUAGAGGUGGAAUUCUCUAAUUUGAUAAAGACUAACUUAUGCGAAAGCAUUUGCCAAGGAUGUUUUCAUCA
Molecule: ribosomal RNA, 379 nt
Filed under: Strombidiidae sp.
Lineage: Eukaryota; Ciliophora; Spirotrichea; Strombidiidae
Description: partial small subunit ribosomal RNA
Rfam family: Eukaryotic small subunit ribosomal RNA
Source: RNAcentral